This is a non-coding RNA of Macaca mulatta (Rhesus monkey), 867 nucleotides long. The record is from RefSeq and is a predicted model, not a curated record. NCBI's taxonomy places the organism in Eukaryota, Metazoa, Chordata, Mammalia, Primates, Cercopithecidae.
GUGAAUGCUAUCCUGGGAUAGAGAUGGAGCCCUGGUGGCCUGAUUCCUCCUGGCCUGGCCAGUACCAUUGUAGCUUCCUGCCACCUCCAAGCUCAUUAAAGACCCAGAGUGACUUGCCUGUCCCAGAGCGACUUGGGAGGGUCAGAAACAGGGGUGAGGGGCCCAGGGCAAGCCUGGGCCUGUAAACGAUGGCAGCCUGGGGCUUUAGUUUGGGAACACAUUCACACCUCCUAUAGGUCAGGCUGCACACUCCGGUUGAUAACCCCAUCUGCAGGUGAGGAAACAGGCACAGUUAUUUGUCCUCAGGCAUGCUCCUUAGAGGCCACUUGAUUGCAGAGAAGGUCUACAGGGCAGUGGUUAGAACUUGGCCCUGAGGACAGAGCUUUCGCUCAGUAUGAGGCUGGCAGGUAACGGCCUUCUGUUUCCUCCUCAGGAAUCUGGAAUGAUGAAGGUGGUGAUGAUUGUGCCUGUAGCCAGGACCGGGAGAACCCUGGACCCCUACAUCUUCCCCACCCCUGGAAUGUCACUAUACAUAUCUGACUUCCUUCUGAUGUUGCCUUUGACCCUAAAGUCAAUAUGAUAAAGUAACAAGAAGCUGGGACAGAGGAACAAACACAGCCCAGUCAAGUAGUGGUGUCAACAUUCUGUUAGAAAGGAGGGGACUCAAAGAAAAAAAAGACACCUCCCCCCACCUCCUUGAUCACCUCCCUAAAGACAGAGAACAUGGACACCCUCCAUCCUGGCAGACAUGCCAUGUGGUCAGUUUGUGCAGUAAACAGGAAAGAAAAAAAAAGAAAAAAAAAAAACCCUAAACAUAUUGUAGACCUUUAUUUUUUAAAUCUCCUAAUAAAAACGUUAAACUUUCAA